CAAUAGUUGCGGCUUAGUUGGAUCUUCCUGGAUCAGGAAUCAAAUCCAUGUCUCUUGCAUUGGCAAGUGGAUUCUUGACCACUGAGUCACCAGAGAAGCCCUGACCCUGGCAUUUGAUCCAAGUUCUUGUUGUUUUUCAAAUAACACUCAUGCUAUUAGCAGGCAGUUCUGUAGUCAGAGGGCAGGUGGGCUCCAGCAGGGUCUGUGCUCAGGGUAUCACCAGGGUGAACUCCAAACGUUGGCUGGACUUAGCUCAAGGCUCAGGGGUAAAGUUGCUUCCUGGAUCAUUCAGGUUAUUGGCAAAAUUCAGGUCCUGUGGUUAUAGGACUGAAGUUUCCAUUUUCUUGUUGGAAGUCAGGACCUGCCCUCAGAGUCUAGAGGCCACUCACAUUUAUUAUCAGGUGGUCCCCUCCAUCUCACAUCAGGAAAUCUUAAAUCUUUCUCACGUUGAAUCCUUCUGCCUUCAUCCUCCGCCAACAGUUGGAGCAAACUUCCACUGAGUUCAACAACUGGCCCACAUUCUCUUUAUUGAGAUGAAUCUAUUGAUCAUGAGCUUGGAUGCUGGAGUAAUGUCAAACGGCUAUAGAAUUUUCUAGUGGCUUACUGUUAAUUUCUGUACCUAACUCUUUGAGAACAAAAUAUAUUUGUUCUUCAUCUUUGGUUCUGGCACAGAGCUCCUAAAACCCUUGAAGUAUACUAAGUGAUGAGAGAGAUAAAGGUUUCUGUUACCUUAAAAAGAUGACUUUUGGAAAGCCAUUAGGUAACCCAAGAAUGCAGACUGCUUUCCAGGAGAAUAAAGCACGUGAUUAGAGGAGUAGACUUUAAGUCCCACCCUUGACCUCUGGGGAAGGGAGAAGUCUAAAGAUUGAUUUCAAUCACCAAUAGCCAAUAAUUUAAUCAAUUGUGCAUCUGUGAUGAAGCCUCCAUAAAAAUCCAGAAGGACAAGGUUCAAAGAGCUUCCAGGCGGUGAGCAUGUGGAGAUUUGGGGAAAAUGGGAAGCUCUGUGUCUCUUCCUGCGUACCCCUCCCUGUGCAUCUCUUCCAUCUGGCUGCUCCUGAGUUAUAUCCUUUAAUGAUAAACUGGUGAUCUAGCAGGAGCGGCUUCCAGGCCUGACACCCCAGCCUUGCAGGCUCAGAGCCCACUCUCCAUUCUGGCUCCAGCUCCUCUUCCUUCCUGACUUGAAAGCCAGUUGCCACAGGAUUGGAAGCCUAGGAGCCCAAACACACCUGCCUGUGCAAGCCACCGGGAGCCUGGUUCUCCACCCCUGUACUUCCAAAAAUGAGCCGGGGGAAGAAAAAGUGCCCACAUUCCUUUCCAAAGCUUGAAGCAUCAUGAACUCGAACGGAGGAAAUUUUAGAAAGAGGAAUGUCACUACUCAAAGAAAUCAUAGUACUUAUUUUAUUUCUUUUAAGAA
Long non-coding RNA from Bos taurus (domestic cattle), 1414 nucleotides. The record is from Ensembl. NCBI's taxonomy places the organism in Eukaryota, Metazoa, Chordata, Mammalia, Artiodactyla, Bovidae.